Molecule: ribosomal RNA, 440 nt
Filed under: uncultured bacterium
Lineage: Bacteria
Description: partial 16S ribosomal RNA
Rfam family: Bacterial small subunit ribosomal RNA
Source: RNAcentral
CCUACGGGAGGCAGCAGUGGGGGAUAUUGCACAAUGGGGGGAACCCUGAUGCAGCGACGCCGCGUGGGUGAAGAAGCGCCUCGGCGCGUAAAGCCCUGUCAGCAGGGAAGAAAAUGACGGUACCUGAAGAAGAAGCCCCGGCUAACUACGUGCCAGCAGCCGCGGUAAUACGUAGGGGGCCAGCGUUAUCCGGAUUUACUGGGUGUAAGGGGGGCGCAGACGGCGGUGCAAGCCAGGAGUGAAAGCCCGGGGCCGAACCCCGGGACUGCUCUUGGAACUGCGUGGCUGGAGUGCAGGAGGGGCAGGCGGAAUUUCUGGUGUAGCGGUGAAAUGCGUAGAUAUCAGGAGGAACACCGGGGGCGAAGGCGGCCUGCUGGACUGCAACUGACGUUGAGGCCCGAAAGCGUGGGGAGCAAACAGGAUUAGAUACCCCAGUAGUC